This 508-nucleotide ribosomal RNA is filed under the name uncultured bacterium. Its description in RNAcentral is "partial 16S ribosomal RNA". It matches the Rfam family "Bacterial small subunit ribosomal RNA", at positions 28 to 523 of the family's 1533-position model. The record is from RNAcentral.
GAUGAACGCUAGCUACAGGCUUAACACAUGCAAGUCGAGGGGAAACGAUAUUGGAAGCUUGCUUCCGAUAGGCGUCGACCGGCGCACGGGUGAGUAACGCGUAUCCAACCUGCCCACCACUUGGGGAUAACCUUGCGAAAGUAAGACUAAUACCCAAUGAUAUCUCAAGAAGACAUCUGAAUGAGAUUAAAGAUUUAUCGGUGAUGGAUGGGGAUGCGUCUGAUUAGCUUGUUGGCGGGGUAACGGCCCACCAAGGCGACGAUCAGUAGGGGUGCUGAGAGGAAGGUCCCCCACAUUGGAACGGAGACACGGUCCAAACUCCUACGGGAGGCAGCAGUGAGGAAUAUUGGUCAAUGGGCGAGAGCCUGAACCAGCCAAGUAGCGUGCAGGAUGACGGCCCUAUGGGUUGUAAACUGCUUUUAUAAGGGAAUAAAGUGAGCCUCGUGAGGCUUUUUGCAUGUACCUUAUGAAUAAGGACCGGCUAAUUCCGUGCCAGCCGCCGCCGUAA